Molecule: non-coding RNA, 824 nt
Organism: Microcebus murinus (gray mouse lemur)
Lineage: Eukaryota; Metazoa; Chordata; Mammalia; Primates; Cheirogaleidae
Source: RefSeq, a predicted model, not a curated record
CCCACUCAGCAAUAAGAGAGAAUGAGCUACUCACACACAACAACAUGGAGGAAUCUUCACCGUGUGGCAUCCCAAGUGGAAGACGCCAGGCGCAAGGGGCUCCACUCUGUGUGCUUCCACUUGCAUGACGUUAUGGAAGAAGCAAAACUAUAGGGCCAGAGACCAGACCAGCGGUCACCUGGGCUCACAAAACCCAGUUGCUGGACCAUCCUCUCAAGAUGGUUCAUCCUCAUCGUCCGGAUCUCAAAGUCCAGAGUGAGACAGAGCUUGCAAAGCCUUUCGGCAUAGACGCUUCCCUCACUACUCCAUCCCCCCAAGUACCAGCCACACACGGCUGUGUGUGCAGCAGGCUUUCUGAAGGGUCACCCCAAUCACACGUCCAGAUGACCACAUCCCCAGCUAAUACCUCGAACACCCCGCGUGACACAGCCUGAGCUAGAGCACAAGCUACACCACCCAAAUUGCGGAUGCACAGAAUCUACGAGGCGAUAAAUAUUUGGAACAGGAUCUGAAUGCAAACGUGUCUUGGAGAAGAAAACUGAUGCUGCUCACCUCCAAGACAAGCAGGACCAGGAAUGUCAGAACCAACCACAGCUGGGACGUGGAAUGCCACAUUACUCUUGAUCAGAGAGGCUCUUUGCACCCAGAUUCAGAGCUUCACAGCUCAGGGCUUCACGCUGAGAUUCUACAGCCCUGGGCAUCAGAUUGCUCAGCUAUAGAUUAAGUGCUGACUCCUUGAUACAAUAAAAAGGCAGAGAUGCAUGUGUUCUGUAUUAAGGUCAAAGUUGUUAAAUGUCUUCAUCCUUUUCAAAGCAUCGGCAGGU